This 253-nucleotide ribosomal RNA is filed under the name uncultured bacterium. Its description in RNAcentral is "partial 16S ribosomal RNA". It matches the Rfam family "Bacterial small subunit ribosomal RNA", at positions 524 to 776 of the family's 1533-position model. The record is from RNAcentral.
UACGUAGGGUGCAAGCGUUGUCCGGAAUUAUUGGGCGUAAAGAGCUCGUAGGCGGUCUGUCACGUCGGCUGUGAAAACUCGGGGCUUAACUCCGGGCCUGCAGUGGGUACGGGCAGACUAGAGUGCGGUAGGGGAGACUGGAAUUCCUGGUGUAGCGGUGAAAUGCGCAGAUAUCAGGAGGAACACCGAUGGCGAAGGCAGGUCUCUGGGCCACUACUGACGCUGAGAAGCGAAAGCAUGGGGAGCGAACAGG